AUGGUUGGACGAGAUAUUAACUGUUUCAUUUAAAAUUAAAAUAAAAUUUUAUUUUUUAGUCAAAAAGCUAAAAUAAAUUUAAAAGACGAGAAGACCCUAUAAAUCUUUAUAUUUUAUUUAUUUUAAUUAUAAAGAUUAAUUUGAUUUUAAUAAAUUAAAAUAUUUUAUUGGGGUGAUAUUAAAAUUUAAAAAACUUUUAAUUUUUAAAAACAUUAAUUUAUGAAUAAUUGAUCCAUUAAUAAUGAUUAAAAAAUUAAGUUACUUUAGGGAUAACAGCGUAAUUUUUUUGGAGAGUUCAUAUCGAUAAAAAAGAUUGCGACCUCGAUGUUGGAUUAAGAUAUAAUUUUGGGUGUAGCCGUUCAAAUUUUAAGUCUGUUCGACUUUUAAAUUCUUACAUGAUCUGAGUUCAAACCGGUGUAAGCCAGGUUGGUUUCUAUCUUUAAAAAAUUAUAAUAUUUUAGUACGAAAGGACCAAAUAUUAAAAUAAUUAUAUUUAAUAAAAUGAAUAUUAUUAAUAU
Molecule: ribosomal RNA, 518 nt
Filed under: Drosophila serrata
Lineage: Eukaryota; Metazoa; Arthropoda; Insecta; Diptera; Drosophilidae
Description: partial 16S ribosomal RNA
Rfam family: Bacterial large subunit ribosomal RNA (bases 269-428)
Source: RNAcentral